UUUCUACCCUCCCCUGCCCUCCUUAAGGGAGACACUACACUCCGUGGGAGCAGGUAGAGUGAACUGCUAACAGUGCAGCAGUCCCCUCCCCCCUACCUACCCUCUUCUCUGUGAUCAUCUAAAUUAUGAAAAAAAGAGAGUGCAUUAAUCCACGGUUCCACAUUGCAUAGAGAACACCAGCAAGAGACAAAAUCCAGCAUAAAACACCAUAGACUGCAGGGGAGGAAGAAACGCCUUUAAAGCAAUGAUAAAAAUGGCGUGCAGAAUAAUUACCUCAAAUUGCCAUUCGCUUGACACUCUGACACUAAUUCUGUUCAAGUCAUUGGGAAAUACAAUAAGGCAAACGAGCCUUUCUCUCCUUGUGCAGCAUUCCCUCAGCAGAUGGAUUUUUGCCACUGCAGCUCAGCAGAGGGUGUCAGAUCUUUCAGUGUGCACCAGGUUGAAACGAGCAGAGCCUCUUAGCAACUCUCCCUCUGCGUGCAUGUGAGUGUGUGCGAGCGUGCGGCUCGGCAGCAGCGGAA
Taeniopygia guttata (zebra finch) is the source of this 521-nucleotide non-coding RNA. Lineage: Eukaryota; Metazoa; Chordata; Aves; Passeriformes; Estrildidae. The record is from RefSeq and is a predicted model, not a curated record.